RNAcentral lists this unclassified non-coding RNA (200 nucleotides) under soil metagenome. RNAcentral describes it as "partial contains internal transcribed spacer 2 and large subunit ribosomal RNA". The record is from RNAcentral.
CUCACGCCCCUCUAGGUGUGGUGUUGGGGAUCGGCCGUCCUUCCGGGUGGCCGGCCCUGAAAUACAGUGGCGGUCUCGCCGUAGCCUCUUCUGCGCAGUAGUUACUUCUCGCAGCUGGAGAGCGGCCUGGCCACGCCGUAAAACCCCCAUAUUUUACCAAGGUUGACCUCGGAUCAGGUAGGGAUACCCGCUGAACUUAA